CCCUUAGAUGUUCUGGGCCGCACGUGCGCUACACUGAUGCAUUCAACGAGUGUACCUUGGCCGAGAGGCCUGGGCAAUCUUUUGAACGUGCAUCGUGAUAGGGAUAGAUUAUUGCAAUUAUUAAUCUUGAACGAGGAAUUCCUAGUAAACGCAGUUCAUCAAACUGCAUUGAUUACGUCCCUGCCCUUUGUACACACCGCCCGUCGCACCUACCGAUUGGAUGGUCCGGUGAAGCCUCGGGAUUGUGGCGGUUGCCUUUAUUGGUGGCCGCCGCGAGAACUUGUCUAAACCUUAUCAUCUAGAGGAAGGUGAAGUCGUAACA
RNAcentral lists this ribosomal RNA (322 nucleotides) under uncultured eukaryote. Its description in RNAcentral is "partial 18S ribosomal RNA". It matches the Rfam family "Eukaryotic small subunit ribosomal RNA", at positions 1470 to 1796 of the family's 1831-position model. The record is from RNAcentral.